AUGAGAUUCUUCCUCUGGCGUAAUGGUAGCCCUAAUUGGGAAUUUGAGCUUAGGAGUUGGGAGCUAGAACAGAGUAAGGAAUGGAUUGUUGUUAGCCGAAAGGGUAAAUCCACCUCUGUUAAGGCCAAUGUUCCUAUUGCGCGUGUUUUCAAUCGGUUUCAUGUUCUUCGUUCUAAUGAUCCUAAGUCGGCGACCUCCGCCGCUAAGAAACUUUCCGCCGCUAAGGAACCUUCCGCCGCUAAGAAACCUUCUGUUCAUCUUGAUCCGAAGUUAAGGCUUUUUUCGGAUUCAAAUUUGAGCUAUGAUCCUAAAUCUGCGUUCCUGGGCUCAAAAGUUUCUGAUCAUGCAAAGAUGGGCCGACCUAAUAUUGGCCUCAAGGCCCGUGGUGGCAUUAAACAGAAAACCCUUAGGGUUCGGAAAUGUUGGGUUAAAAAAUCGGCUCCUCAGUCUCCUCGUCUUCCUUCGCUUGACGCUGCAGGAAAAUCCUCUCACCCGGAGACGAUCUUGGUCACUUCAAUGGCGAAUCUUCAGCCAGACCCUCAGGGAUUGCACUUGCAUCCAGCUGGCCCUCAUCGUCGCCGCCGAGUUGAUACGGUAAACUUCACUCCUUCUACCAUGCGCCAUGAGCAGUUUGUUCUUGCCUUGGUUCAUCCACAGUUGCCUGUUGAUCAGUGGGAUGACCAUCGCAAUGAAAUUAGAGGUUUUUUGGAGCAAGUCAGGCAUGUUGAGGUUUUGGAGUCUUAUCCACAUCCGAAUGUGGUUGCCCUGGACUUGGACUCUGUUCCUCAGUUUGUUGUUUGGGAGCAGCCUAAUGUGCCCAAUGGUCAAUCUUGGACAAUAUAUGUUUACACUAUGAAUGGUGAGUUUGCAGAUGUGCUUCCACCUGAUGAUGAUAUUCCACCUGGUGAAUGUCCUGUUGAUCCCAAUAUUAAUCUUGAGGAUGCUCCUGCCUGGCAAUUUGGUAACCUGCAGCAGCAGAAUGAUAAUGCACCUGCCCAGGGUUGGGGAACUGGGAUGAGGGACAAGAUAAUCAGCUUCAGCCUGCAAUUCCUGAACCUCAGGAUUUCUUAUCCUUCUGCAAGUUCAGACAGUUCAGUUCCGUCCUUCAUAAGUAUCUCCAGUACAGAGGAAGAGGUUUUGAUUCAUGCCGAUAACAGGAUGGUUGUUCAUGAGGGGGUUGAAAAUACUAUGCAUGUUGACUCCCUUUGUCAGAGGUUCCCUCAGAUCAUGUUUGACAAUUCCUUUAUUAAAGAUGCUUCUUUU
RNAcentral lists this long non-coding RNA (1263 nucleotides) under Oryza sativa Indica Group (long-grained rice). RNAcentral's name for it is "lncRNA OsMH63_03G022870". Lineage: Eukaryota; Viridiplantae; Streptophyta; Magnoliopsida; Poales; Poaceae. The record is from RNAcentral. RNAcentral also lists the same sequence under 1 other name.